This 253-nucleotide ribosomal RNA is filed under the name uncultured bacterium. RNAcentral's name for it is "partial 16S ribosomal RNA". It matches the Rfam family "Bacterial small subunit ribosomal RNA", at positions 524 to 776 of the family's 1533-position model. The record is from RNAcentral.
GACGGGGGAUGCAAGCGUUACCCGGAAUCACUGGGCGUAAAGCGUCUGUAGGUGGUGAUGCAAGUCACUGGUGCAAAACUCUGGCUCAACCGGAGGAAAACCAGUGAAACUGCAUGGCUAGAGCGCGGGGGAGGUAGAAGGCAUUGCCUGAGUGGCGGUGAAAUGCGUAGAUACAGGGAAGGACACCGGAGGCGAAAGCGUUCUACUGGAACACAACUGACACUGAGAGACGAAAGCUAGGGGAGCGAAUGGG